AAGAUGGCGGCGUUUGCACGGAGUGCAAUCACUGCGUCCUUACGGGGGUUGCAAGGCGUCCGAAGUAUGAGUCCACUAACAAAAGUCCAGAAACUCGCCAGUUAAUAGUAUUGUGUCUCUUCAAAAUAUCGGAGAAUAAUUUCUUUCUCGCUGAUCGCCUAACUUCUACUGACGAAGCUUGGAAGUUGCAGAAGAAAUACAAAAAAAAUUCUAAAACUUGUAUGGAACUACAAAAGACAUUAAAUAAUCAAAGUAAUCUUGAGCAACAAGGACACAGCUGGAGGCAUCACUCUACCUGAUUUUGUAAUCCAUUAUCAAAAAACUGUGGUACCAGCAUAAAAACAGAUUCACUGACCAGUGGAACAGGAAAGCCCAGACAUAACUCAUACAUUUCCAUCCAAUUGAUUUUUGACAAAAGUGGCACACAGAAUGGGGAGAGGACAAAUAAAUAAAUAAAUUGUUUUGAGAUAUCUGUA
This 476-nucleotide long non-coding RNA is filed under the name Homo sapiens (human). RNAcentral's name for it is "non-protein coding JPX:16". The stretch from base 1 to 116 matches the Rfam family "JPX transcript, XIST activator conserved region 1", at positions 20 to 135 of the family's 135-position model. The record is from RNAcentral. Lineage: Eukaryota; Metazoa; Chordata; Mammalia; Primates; Hominidae.